AUUGAACGCUGGCGGAAUGCUUUACACAUGCAAGUCGAGCGGCAGCACGGGGGCAACCCUGGUGGCGAGCGGCGAACGGGUGAGUAAUACAUCGGAACAUGCCCAGUCGUGGGGGAUAACACUUCGAAAGAAGUGCUAAUACCGCAUACGUCCUGAGGGGGAAAGCGGGGGAUCGCAAGACCUCGCGCGAUUGGAGUGGCCGAUGUCAGAUUAGCUAGUUGGUGGGGUAAAGGCCUACCAAGGCAACGAUCUGUAGCUGGUCUGAGAGGAUGAUCAGCCACACUGGAACUGAGACACGGCCCAGACUCCUACGGGAGGCAGCAGUGGGGAAUUUUGGACAAUGGGGGCAACCCUGACCCAGCCACUCCGCGUGAGUGAAGAAGGCCUUCGGGUUGUAAAGCUCUUUCGGCAGGAACGAAACGGUGAGCUCUAACAUAGCUAGCUAAUGACAGUACCUGAAGAAGAAGCACCGGCUAACUACGUG
This 484-nucleotide ribosomal RNA is filed under the name uncultured bacterium. RNAcentral describes it as "partial 16S ribosomal RNA". It matches the Rfam family "Bacterial small subunit ribosomal RNA", at positions 30 to 507 of the family's 1533-position model. The record is from RNAcentral.